CAAGCGAACGAGAAUCUGGAGGUUCAAGUUUUACGGACAAGAAUUUACGGAGGAAAGUGGCGGAAGGGUGAGUACAACAUGGAUAAUUCUACCUUCAAGUUGGGUAUAGCUUCCCGAAAGGGGAGAUAAUCCCGAAUGUGGUGAUCCGGCGCCUGUCGGAGAAUCCAAAGGUGGGGACCGCAAGGCCUGCCGCUUGAAGAUGAGUCCGUGCACUAUCAGCUAGUUGGUGAGGUAAUGGCUCACCAAGGCGAUGACGGUUAGCUGGUCUGAGAGGAUGGUCAGCCACACUGGGACUGAGAUACUGCCCAGACUCCUACGGGAGGCUGCAGUCGAGAAUCAUUCGCAAUGGGCGCAAGCCUGACGGUGCGACGUCGCGUGGAGGAUGAAGGUCUUCGGAUUGUAAACUCCUGUCAUGUGGGAUAAAUGGCCAGGGCAUGAAUAGUGCCUUGGAAUGAUAGUACCACAGGAGGAAGGGACGGCUAACUCUGUG
RNAcentral lists this ribosomal RNA (490 nucleotides) under uncultured bacterium. RNAcentral describes it as "bacterial SSU rRNA". It matches the Rfam family "Bacterial small subunit ribosomal RNA", at positions 58 to 507 of the family's 1533-position model. The record is from RNAcentral.